GGGGGCGUAAUUGGUUUCGACGGGGGUAUAGAAGUAUAAUAAGCGAGCCGCUGUAGCCAACCAGCGUAAAAAAUGGCAACUUAAAUUAAACGCUAAAAACAAUAAUAAUUUAGCAUUCGCAGCGUAAGCUGUUAGCUUGUUCCACUUGGCCGACCUGUAGGCCAUACUGGGACAUCAGAUAAAUCAGGGAACUGCUUUAGGGACGCUUCGACCUAUUGCCGAACAAUCGAAGAUAGCCUGAUGUGAAUUUUGUCAAGACUUGUCACAUCAUGCGAUACUCUAAGUUUUGACUGCGCUCGGAGAAAGUUGUAUGGAAAUGCUUUCGGACGUGGGUUCGACUCCCACCGCCUUCACCA
Molecule: transfer-messenger RNA, 356 nt
Filed under: Dethiosulfatibacter aminovorans
Lineage: Bacteria; Bacillati; Bacillota; Tissierellia
Also listed under: 1 other name
Description: Standard tmRNA
Rfam family: transfer-messenger RNA
About the family: Bacterial tmRNA, also known as 10Sa RNA or SsrA, is named for its dual tRNA and mRNA-like properties. Its role is to liberate the mRNA from a stalled ribosome.
Source: RNAcentral